RNAcentral lists this ribosomal RNA (487 nucleotides) under uncultured bacterium. Its description in RNAcentral is "bacterial SSU rRNA". It matches the Rfam family "Bacterial small subunit ribosomal RNA", at positions 31 to 507 of the family's 1533-position model. The record is from RNAcentral.
GAACGCUAGCUACAGGCUUAACACAUGCAAGUCGAGGGGCAGCAUGGACAUAGCUUGCUAUGUUUGAUGGCGACCGGCGCACGGGUGCGUAACACGUAUCCAAUCUGCCCGUUACUCGGGGAUAGCCUUCUGAAAGGAAGAUUAAUACCCGAUGGCAUGUAUUUCCGGCAUCGGAGAUACAUUAAAGAUUUAUCGGUAACGGAUGAGGAUGCGUACGAUUAGCUUGUUGGCGGGGUAACGGCCCACCAAGGCGACGAUCGUUAGGGGUUCUGAGAGGAAGGUCCCCCACACUGGAACUGAGACACGGUCCAGACUCCUACGGGAGGCAGCAGUGAGGAAUAUUGGUCAAUGGUCGGAAGACUGAACCAGCCAAGUAGCGUGAAGGAUGACUGCCCUACGGGUUGUAAACUUCUUUUGUUUGGGAAUAAAAGACGCUACGUGUAGCGUUCUGCAUGUACCUUACGAAUAAGCAUCGGCUAAUUCCGUG